This 468-nucleotide ribosomal RNA is filed under the name uncultured bacterium. RNAcentral describes it as "partial 16S ribosomal RNA". It matches the Rfam family "Bacterial small subunit ribosomal RNA", at positions 28 to 507 of the family's 1533-position model. The record is from RNAcentral.
GACGAACGCUGGCGGCGUGCUUAACACAUGCAAGUCGAACGGAAAGGCCCUGCUUUUGUGGGGUGCUCGAGUGGCGAACGGGUGAGUAACACGUGAGUAACCUGCCCUUGACUUUGGGAUAACUUCAGGAAACUGGGGCUAAUACCGGAUAGGAGCUCCUGCUGCAUGGUGGGGGUUGGAAAGUUUCGGCGGUUGGGGAUGGACUCGCGGCUUAUCAGCUUGUUGGUGGGGUAGUGGCUUACCAAGGCUUUGACGGGUAGCCGGCCUGAGAGGGUGACCGGGCACAUUGGGCCUGAGAUACGGACCAGACUCCUACGGGAGGCAGCAGUGGGGAAUAUUGCACAAUGGGCGGAAGCCUGAUGCAGCAACGCCGCGUGCGGGAUGACGGCCUUCGGGUUGUAAACCGCUUUCGCCUGUGACGAAGCGUGAGUGACGGUAAUGGGUAAAGAAGCACCGGCUAACUACGUG